UACAGAGGUCCCAAGCGUUGUUCGGAUUCACUGGGCGUAAAGGGUGCGUAGGCGGUCGGGUAAGUCUGUUGUGAAAUCUCCGAGCUUAACUCGGAAACUGCAGUGGAUACUAUCCGGCUCGAGGAAUGGAGGGGAGACUGGAAUACUUGGUGUAGCAGUGAAAUGCGUAGAUAUCAAGUGGAACACCAGUGGCGAAGGCGAGUCUCUGGACAUUUCCUGACGCUGAGGCACGAAAGCCAGGGGAGCAAACGGG
This 253-nucleotide ribosomal RNA is filed under the name uncultured bacterium. RNAcentral describes it as "partial 16S ribosomal RNA". It matches the Rfam family "Bacterial small subunit ribosomal RNA", at positions 524 to 776 of the family's 1533-position model. The record is from RNAcentral.